RNAcentral lists this unclassified non-coding RNA (345 nucleotides) under soil metagenome. Its description in RNAcentral is "partial contains 5.8S ribosomal RNA, internal transcribed spacer 2, and large subunit ribosomal RNA". The stretch from base 1 to 119 matches the Rfam family "5.8S ribosomal RNA", at positions 35 to 154 of the family's 154-position model. The record is from RNAcentral.
GAUGAAGAACGUAGCGAAAUGCGAUACGUAAUGUGAAUUGCAAAUUCAGUGAAUCAUCAAGUCUUUGAACGCACAUUGCGCCCCCUGGUAUUCCGGGGGGCAUGCCUGUCCGAGCGUCAUUGCUGCCCUCAAGCACGGCUUGUGUGUUGGGCCCCGUCCUCCGAUUCCGGGGGACGGGCCCGAAAGGCAGCGGCGGCACCGCGUCCGGUCCUCGAGCGUAUGGGGCUUUGUCACCCGCUCUGUAGGCCCGGCCGGCGCUUGCCGAUCAACCCAAAUUUUUAUCCAGGUUGACCUCGGAUCAGGUAGGGAUACCCGCUGAACUUAAGCAUAUCAAUAAGCGGAGGA